This 1186-nucleotide long non-coding RNA is filed under the name Anser cygnoides (Swan goose). Its description in RNAcentral is "lncRNA (ENSACDG00005016781.1)". Lineage: Eukaryota; Metazoa; Chordata; Aves; Anseriformes; Anatidae. The record is from RNAcentral.
CACUGCAGCCUUACUGGAGGGACUGGGAGGGGGGGAACUGGUCCCAGUAAGGUCCCAUCCUCCCUGUACCCAGUAAGGGAGAGAUGCCCUCAACAAAGAUGGCGGCGCCCAUGGGAGGGCGGCGAGGCCCCGCCCCCUCCCUGGCACCGGCUGAGCCAAUUGGAGCGCCUCAAGCUUCCCCCUCGGCACGGGAUUGGCUGAUGGAAAGGGGAGGGGAGGCGGAAAGAGCCGAAGCUUUCCGGAGAGAGCCGAAGCGGGUGUUUGUGUGUGGGAGGGGUGGCGGCGUUCGGGGAGGCUUCCGGAAAGAGCCGAAGUUUUCCGGCGAGACACGAAGGCGGCGGGGAGGAGGGCGCGGAGCCGGAAAGUGCCGAAGCGUUCCGGAAAGAGCCGAAAGCCCUUCCUCGGCAGAACGCCGGUGAAGAAUCCGGAAAGAGCCGAACCCCUUCCGGAAAUAGCCGAAGGGAAGAACCCGGAACGAGUCGCGUUCCUUCCGGACGAACCCGAAGCGUUCCGGGGGCCUUCCCGAACCCUGCCCGGAAACCUCCGAUUCCCCCCUCCCGGCUCCUUUCCGGAGAAUCCCGAAGGCGUUCCGAAAAGACCCGAAGCACCUUCCGGAAAGCCCCGAAGCUCUUCCGAAGAGACCCGAAGCCGUUCCGGAAAGACCCGAAGGCUCUUCCGGACAAUCCCGAAGCUCUUUCGAAGAGACCCGAAGCUUUUCCGGAGAGAGCCGAAGCCGUUACGGAAAGUCCCGAAGCCGUUCCGGAAAGACCCGAAGCCCCUUCCGGAUAAUCCCGAAGCUCUUUCGAAGAGACCCGAAGCUCUUCCGGAGAAAGCCGAAGCCGUUCCGGAGAGCCCCGAAUCCCUUCCGGAAGUUGCCGAAGAGCCCCGAAACCCUUCCGGAGCCUCCCGAAGAGCCCCGAAUCCCUCCCGGAGGUUCCCGAAACCCUUCCGGAGCCUCCCGAAGAUCUCCGAACCCCUUCCGGAAAGCCCAGAAGCCCUUCCGGAAAAGCCCCGAAGCCCUUCCGGAAAAGCCCGAAGCCCUUCCGGAAAAGCCCGAAGCCCUUCCGGAAAGCCCCGAACCCCUUCCGGAGAGUGCCGAAGCCCUUCCGGAAGUUGCCGAGCGGUGCCGGCCGUUGCCGCCUCCUCCUCCCUCCUCCUCCUCCCCGCCGCCGCCGCCUCCGUUCCG